AAUUUUCACUGUAUACUAAGCAGGUACAUUAUACAGUGAACAGAGAGAGGGAACAGAAAACAAAGGUCUCCAAAGUUAGUCUAUGGAAUCUAGCAGGAGAUCUCAAUAAUUGACCUAUUUAAAGAUUAUAAUUCUUCAGAUUUGUAUAAAGUCCCAAGACGUAUUAAUACUGAAAUUUCCCAAGUACUAGGAUGGAACCCAGGCCUUCACACAGAGCUGCAUCCCUCGUCCCUACCCCUAUCCCCCAGUCUUUUUAAACUUUGAGAGAGUAUCUCACUGAAUCAGUUGCCCAGGCUGGGCUUCACCUUGCAAUCCUCCUGUCUCAGCCUGCCAGAGUGCUGGUCCACAGUUUGAAGAAUCAGCCCACAGCCUUUCCUGACCCCAGGAGUGUGUCAUUUCUGUACUACUCUACCCUUCGGGAUUGAACUCAGGACCUCGUGCUUGUGAGGCAGGCAUGGUGCCACUGAGGUAAAUCCCCACCCUGGAGUCUGGAUGAAGAACAGAUGCUGGCAAUUCUUAGCUCGUUCUAUGCGAGAGUCUGGAAUCUCUGCUGGACCCAACACAUGGUAUCAUUUGGCGAGCUAGUCAGGAGACAUCAGCAGCCAGAAGCAGCCCAGCCAGAAAGGAAGGGUAAAACCCAAGCUGCCUGAGACACCAGAAAAUGAAAAAGAGAGAACACAAACCUUGAACACCUGUGAGCCAUGGAACGACCUCAAGUUUCCUUUCAGAAAAGAAAACACCAACCAACCUGUUCAGCCACAUAGGUGAAAGUUGGGUUGUUCCCUUCCCACAACCUUACCAAGGAGUCUCAGUUGGAAUCCUGCUGCACAUACACAGCUGUCUUAGCAAGAAGUCUCAGAGCAUCAUUCGCUCUGCUCUCCCAGCCUGAUAAGGUGCACUCACAGAGGGAGUGAGAGUAUUCCAACAUCAGGUCUCAGUGAACUUUGGAGACAGAAUGAAUUUGCAAAAUCCAGCAGUAUUUCCUUCAUAUUGGUGAACCAGGUCUCUGCCUUCAGCCCAGGACUUUAGAGAGCCUCGAGUAUCAGAAACACAUAAAAAAAUACAUUUAUGAGGGAACAAAUGGCCCCUCUACCACUUGGGACCCAGCAGUCGGAGUUGGCAUUGUGUGAG
This is a long non-coding RNA of Heterocephalus glaber (naked mole-rat), 1131 nucleotides long. The record is from Ensembl. Lineage: Eukaryota; Metazoa; Chordata; Mammalia; Rodentia; Bathyergidae.